This 323-nucleotide long non-coding RNA is filed under the name Mytilus galloprovincialis (Mediterranean mussel). The record is from RNAcentral. Lineage: Eukaryota; Metazoa; Mollusca; Bivalvia; Mytilida; Mytilidae.
CUUUUCCCAUAACUCAAAAUAAAUACCUAAACAUAUAUAUUCUUAAGCAAGAAGUAUGGAGACACAUUUUAGAAUAUGUAAAUGGGUUACUCAAUGCUAGGAAAAAAUCAGAUUGAGUUAUCUUUCUUUAUUCGGGUGUGCUCCUUCUUUGGAGGAUUAUAAACAGUACGUAAAUAUGAUCACAAUAUGGCGGCCGAUUUUGUUAUUUUCGUAUCAAAAAUGAAGGCAGUCAAUGACAAAUACGUCUGAAUUUUCUGUUUAUUUUACAGAAAACAAGUAAAACAAUGUCUUCAACGAGUUUAUAAUGGUUUUCCAACUUUCUG